Molecule: ribosomal RNA, 200 nt
Filed under: uncultured bacterium
Lineage: Bacteria
Description: partial 16S ribosomal RNA
Rfam family: Bacterial small subunit ribosomal RNA
Source: RNAcentral
GACGAACGCUGGCGGCGUGCCUAACACAUGCAAGUCGUGCGAGAAACCCCUCCUUCGGGAGGGGAGUACAGCGGCGCACGGGUGAGUAACGCGUAAGUUAUCUGCCCUUUGGUCUGGCAUAACUCCGGGAAACCGGGGCUAAUUCCAGAUGAUGUCGCAAGACCAAAGCCUUCGGGCGCCAAAGGAUGAGCUUGCGUCCC